This 85-nucleotide microRNA precursor is filed under the name Mus pahari (shrew mouse). RNAcentral's name for it is "miRNA (MGP_PahariEiJ_G0007206.1)". The record is from RNAcentral. Lineage: Eukaryota; Metazoa; Chordata; Mammalia; Rodentia; Muridae.
CCUGGCUGUCCUUGAAUUCACUCUGUAGACCAGGCUAGCCUCAAAUGCAGAGAUCCGCCUGCCCCUGCCUCCUGAAUGCUGGGAU